RNAcentral lists this ribosomal RNA (1600 nucleotides) under Clostridioides difficile DA00196. RNAcentral describes it as "bacterial LSU rRNA". It matches the Rfam family "Bacterial large subunit ribosomal RNA", at positions 1313 to 2925 of the family's 2925-position model. Lineage: Bacteria; Bacillati; Bacillota; Clostridia; Peptostreptococcales; Peptostreptococcaceae. The record is from RNAcentral.
AGAUGUGGGUGAGAAUCCCACAGGCCGUAAACCCAAGGUUUCCAGGGGAAGGUUCGUCCGCCCUGGGUUAGUCGGGACCUAAGCUGAGGCCGAAAGGCGUAGGUGAUGGACAACAGGUUGAUAUUCCUGUACUACCGAUAACCGUUUGAGAGAUGGGAUGACACAGUAGGAUAAGCUAAGCACACUGUUGGUUAUGUGUGCCCAAGCAUUGAGGCAGUCAAAGUAGGUAAAUCCGCUUUGAUAAUGCUGGGAUGUGAUGGGGAGCGAAAUUUAGUAGCGAAGUAGCUGAUUUCACACUGUCAAGAAAAGUCUCUAUCGAGGUUAAAGGUACCCGUACCGCAAACCGACACAGGUGGGUGAGGAGAGUAUCCUAAGGCCAGCGAGAGAACUGUUGUUAAGGAACUCGGCAAAAUGACCCCGUAACUUAGGGAUAAGGGGUGCCACCAUCAGGUGGCCGCAGAGAAUAGGCCCAAGCGACUGUUUACCAAAAACAUAGGUUUCUGCUAAGUCGCAAGACGAUGUAUAGGAGCUGACGCCUGCCCGGUGCUGGAAGGUUAAGGGGAUCUGUUAGAGCAAUCGAAGCAGUGAACUUAAGCCCCAGUAAACGGCGGCCGUAACUAUAACGGUCCUAAGGUAGCGAAAUUCCUUGUCGGGUAAGUUCCGACCCGCACGAAAGGCGUAACGAUUUGGGCACUGUCUCAACAACAGACUCGGUGAAAUUGUAAUUCCGGUGAAGAUGCCGGAUACCUGCGACAGGACGGAAAGACCCCAUGGAGCUUUACUGUAGCUUGACAUUGGGUCUUGGUACUACAUGUACAGGAUAGGUGGGAGGCUUUGAAACCAGGACGCCAGUUUUGGCGGAGCCAUCCUUGGGAUACCACCCUUGUAGUACUGGGACUCUAACCAUAGGCCAUGAAUCUGGUCUUGGGACACUGUCAGGUGGGCAGUUUGACUGGGGCGGUCGCCUCCCAAAAGGUAACGGAGGCGCUCAAAGGUUCUCUCAGUACGGUCGGAAAUCGUACGUAGAGUGUAAAGGCAAAAGAGAGCUUGAUUGCAAGACAUACAGGUCGAGCAAGGAUGAAAAUCGGACUUAGUGAUCCGGUGGUUCUGCGUGGAAGGGCCAUCGCUCAACGGAUAAAAGCUACCCUGGGGAUAACAGGCUUAUCUCCCCCAAGAGUCCACAUCGACGGGGAGGUUUGGCACCUCGAUGUCGGCUCAUCACAUCCUGGGGCUGUAGUAGGUCCCAAGGGUUGGGCUGUUCGCCCAUUAAAGUGGUACGCGAGCUGGGUUCAGAACGUCGUGAGACAGUUCGGUCCCUAUCCGUCGCAGGCGUAGGAAAUUUGAGAAGACCUGUCCUUAGUACGAGAGGACCGGGAUGGACGUACCUCUGGUGUACCAGUUGUCCUGCCAAGGGCAUGGCUGGGUAGCUAUGUACGGAAUGGAUAAGCGCUGAAAGCAUCUAAGCGCGAAGCCAACUUCAAGAUAAGAUUUCCCACCGCAAGGGUAAGACCCCAGAAAGACUAUCUGGUUGAUAGGUCGAAGGUGUAAGUGCAGCAAUGUAUUUAGCUUAUCGAUACUAAUAGGUCGAGGACUUGACCAA